UGCCGCGUANAGUGAAGUAGGCCUUCGGGUUGUAAAGCUCUUUUGUUCGGAAAGAAAUCGCUCGGGCUAAUACCUGGGGUGGAUGACGGUACCGGAAGAAUAAGCACCGGCUAACUACGUGCCAGCAGCCGCGGUAAUA
This 139-nucleotide ribosomal RNA is filed under the name uncultured Oxalobacter sp. RNAcentral describes it as "partial 16S ribosomal RNA". It matches the Rfam family "Bacterial small subunit ribosomal RNA", at positions 395 to 525 of the family's 1533-position model. The record is from RNAcentral. Lineage: Bacteria; Pseudomonadati; Pseudomonadota; Betaproteobacteria; Burkholderiales; Oxalobacteraceae.